CCCUUCGAGACUAGGAGGUUGAUAGGCCGCAGGUGAAAGCCCGGUAACGGGUGGAGCCGAGCGGUACUAAUAGCCCGAUUGUCUUACGUA
Molecule: ribosomal RNA, 90 nt
Filed under: Candidatus Acetothermia bacterium
Lineage: Bacteria; Candidatus Bipolaricaulota
Description: partial 23S ribosomal RNA
Rfam family: Bacterial large subunit ribosomal RNA
Source: RNAcentral